AGAGUUUGAUCCUGGCUCAGGACGAACGCUGGCGGCGUGCCUAACACAUGCAAGUCGAGCGGGGAACGGAUGGUAGCUUGCUACCGUUUGUUUCUAGCGGCGGACGGGUGAGUAACGCGUGAGCAACCUGCCUUUAUCAGGGGGAUAACGCAUCGAAAGAUGUGCUAAUACCGCGUAAGACCACAGCUUCACAUGGAGCGGGGGUCAAAGGAGCAAUCCGGAUAAAGAUGGGCUCGCGUCCGAUUAGCUAGUUGGUGAGAUAACAGCCCACCAAGGCGACGAUCGGUAGCCGACCUGAGAGGGUGAUCGGCCACAUUGGAACUGAGAGACGGUCCAGACUCCUACGGGAGGCAGCAGUGGGGAAUAUUGGGCAAUGGGCGAAAGCCUGACCCAGCAACGCCGCGUGAGGGAAGAAGGGUUUCGGCUCGUAAACCUCUGUCCUAUGGGACGAAGGAAGUGACGGUACCAUAGGAGGAAGCCCCGGCUAACUACGUGCCAGCAGCCGCGGUAAUACGUAGGGGGCGAGCGUUGUCCGGAAUGAUUGGGCGUAAAGGGCGCGUAGGCGGCCUGCUAAGUCUGGAGUGAAAGUCCUGCUUUCAAGGUGGGAAUUGCUUUGGAUACUGGUGGGCUGGAGUGCAGGAGAGGAAAGCGGAAUUACCGGUGUAGCGGUGAAAUGCGUAGAGAUCGGUAGGAACACCAGUGGCGAAGGCGGCUUUCUGGACUGAAACUGACGCUGAGGCGCGAAAGCGUGGGGAGCAAACAGGAUUAGAUACCCUGGUAGUCCACGCGGUAAACGAUGAAUGCUAGGUGUAGGAGGUAUCGACCCCUUCUGUGCCGCAGUAAACACAAUAAGCAUUCCGCCUGGGGAGUACGGCCGCAAG
This 881-nucleotide ribosomal RNA is filed under the name human gut metagenome. Its description in RNAcentral is "bacterial SSU rRNA". It matches the Rfam family "Bacterial small subunit ribosomal RNA", at positions 8 to 892 of the family's 1533-position model. The record is from RNAcentral.